GUGCAGCAGUCGCGAAACUUCACACUGUGCGAAAGCACGAUGAGGGAAUCCCAAGUGCUUGCACGUAAGUGUAAGCUGUUUCUCUGUUUAAAACGCAGAGAGAGUAAGGGCUGGGUAAGACGGGUGCCAGCCGCCGCGGUAAUACCUGCAGCUCAAGUGGUGACCGUUAUUAUUGGGCCUAAAACGUCCGUAGCCGGUUUAAUAAAUGCCUGGGUAAAUCGUGUAGCUUAACUAUACGAAUUCCGGGUAGACUGUUAAACUCGAGACCGGGAGAAGUUAGAGGUACUCCUGGGGUAGAGGUGAAAUUCUGUAAUCCUAGGGGGACCACCAGUGGCGAAGGCGUCUAACUAGAACGGGUCUGAUGGUGAGGGACGAAGCCCUGGGGCGCAAACGGGAUUAGAUACCGCGUAGU
RNAcentral lists this ribosomal RNA (412 nucleotides) under uncultured microorganism. Its description in RNAcentral is "bacterial SSU rRNA". It matches the Rfam family "Archaeal small subunit ribosomal RNA", at positions 330 to 745 of the family's 1478-position model. The record is from RNAcentral.